This 499-nucleotide ribosomal RNA is filed under the name uncultured bacterium. Its description in RNAcentral is "bacterial SSU rRNA". It matches the Rfam family "Bacterial small subunit ribosomal RNA", at positions 28 to 526 of the family's 1533-position model. The record is from RNAcentral.
GACGAACGCUGGCGGCGCGCCUAACACAUGCAAGUCGAACGGAGAUGCUAGAGGGAAGCCUUCGGGUGGAACAUUGGUAUUCUUAGUGGCGGACGGGUGAGUAACACGUGAGCAACCUGCCUUACAGAGUGGGAUAACGUCUGGAAACGGACGCUAAUACCACAUGACAUUGGUCUAUCGCAUGGUAGAGCAAUCAAAGAUUUUAUCGCUGUAAGAUGGGCUCGCGCCUGAUUAGAUAGUUGGUGGGGUAACGGCCUACCAAGUCGACGAUCAGUAGCCGGACUGAGAGGUUGAACGGCCACAUUGGGACUGAGACACGGCCCAGACUCCUACGGGAGGCAGCAGUGGGGAAUAUUGCACAAUGGGGGAAACCCUGAUGCAGCGACGCCGCGUGAGGGAAGAAGGUUUUCGGAUUGUAAACCUCUGUCUUCAGGGACGAUAAUGACGGUACCUGAGGAGGAAGCUCCGGCUAACUACGUGCCAGCCGCCGCCGUAACAC